Molecule: ribosomal RNA, 375 nt
Filed under: Triticum aestivum (bread wheat)
Lineage: Eukaryota; Viridiplantae; Streptophyta; Magnoliopsida; Poales; Poaceae
Description: partial small subunit ribosomal RNA
Source: RNAcentral
AUGGAUAUUUUACAAGCUCAUCAGCUAAUCAAAAGGCUGGCGAGAGGUUUCAGCCUAUUACCUGGAGAGAUUGUUGUUGUUUCUCUUGACAGGUUUGGUUCUUCCGUUCUUUGGCCAUCACUCCAUUUCAUUGCGGCCUAUGUUGAACACGAUGUUGGUGCCACUUGUACAUUGUACUAUGUAUGCGCCGAAGAGCUUACACUGGUGGUCACAUCGAAUGAAUGGAUGGAUGCAUUGCAUGCAGUACUGCUAGCAAUGUGCUACAACUUGUGGCGAUGGAGCCAGCCACCAUGUAGAAGCUUCCAAGGCAGACACGUGCCGGAAUUAACAAAGUUUGGGGGUCGAUCCAUCUGCUGCUUCGUGGAGUUUGGUUGA